AUAAGAGCCUCUCCUUUCUCUGCACCUUUUCUGAUAUUUUCCAACUGAUCCUUAUGUGCAUCCUUCUUGCUGAGCCAACAGGUAGCAAAGUCAAAAUCCAAAAAGUAAAAAAAGUCUUUUCUCUGAUUUCAGCUUGUUUGCAUAUCAUUUAAAUCUUGAUUUUGUUUCUUCAGACUGCAUCAGAGAGCAGAAUGGCAAAGCUGGUGCGUGGCUGUGUGUGACAGUGGCCCUGUGUGAUGCGGUGUCCCUAACAAACAGAGGCCAUUGUGAUGCGGGGCCCUGCCCUGACACGAGGGUAUUUAAGGAGCAGAGAGGCGUGGGGUGCCCACUCCUAGGAGACCAGCUUUGUCCAGAGGCAGCAGCUCUCCCAGGUGACAGUGACGGGUGUGUGGCACAGGACGCCCCAGGCCAGCAUGCAGGAGGAGCGGCCAGCAGCAGAGCCGGCCCAGGCGGGCGGCGUGUCUGCAUCAGCUUCCCCGAGCAGGGCUGCGGCUGCAGGGACGGGCCAGCAGCAGCAGCAGCUCCAGCAGGAGCAGGCAGGGCUCUCUGUGCUCAUCGAGUGCCACCAAGGCCCUCGGUGGCCGUGGGGGCACAGGAGGCACGGGCCUGUUUUGAAGCAGGUGAUCGUGUCCUUCACGAGGAGGGCUCCAGGGGAGCCGGGCAGGAGCUGCUGCUCCCACAGCUCGCUGCGGCAGCAGCAUGGCCUGCAGGUCAGAGAAGCACAGAGGCAGGGACAGGGCUCCUCGCGGAGGCACCCCCGGGCCCUCGAUGGCUCCGCUGGGCUCAGUGUCAACGGCAGGAUGGCAUGGCCUGAGACCGGACAGGACAGGCCCACGGGCCGGCCCUGGCCGACAGGCUGCAGCACGGCACAGCAGCCACAGCUGAUACGUAGCGGGUUCGCUGAGGGCACCAUGAACAACAAGGCCACACUGGAGCGGCCGGGAGCCCAAGCUCCACCCAGUAAGCCAGUGGCCUGCACCAUGGAGCAGGAGUGUGAAGAUGCCCUUGGUCCAGAGCUGUCUGAGGAAGAGCAGUGGGAAGACGCCCUCGAUGUUGAGGUGUCCGACGAAGAGGAAUGGCAUGAUGCAGUAGACACAGAGCCGUGCCAAGGGACAGAUGACACUGGCUCAUCUCCUGUCCAUCGCUGGGUGAAUUCCUUGGGCCUGUGGGACAACAAAGGCUCCCACGCUGGUCCCAAGGAGGGUCCCAGCUGCCCCACGGGUGAGGGAAGCGGGCCAAGAGGCACACCGGGAGGAUCUCAGGACAAGGAGCAUCCCUCGCAUGAAGGCCAUGAAGAAGAAGAUGGCACAGCCACUCUCAGCCCAGCAGCUCAGAAAAAGCCCUCUCUGGUGGGAAAGGAAGCAGUAGCUCACCCAGAUCAAGGCCAGGCCUUCACCAACACCAUCCCUUUGCCCACCCAUGUGGACGCCCCGGCUGAAGUGAGCCAGAUGUGGCGCAGGAAGGCGCUGAGUGCUCUGCAGGCCUUACCUGCUGCCCAAGGCAAAGGAGAGCAAAAGAGCCAGCAGCCAACAGGCUGCCAAGAGGUUGUGCCAGAGCCAGCGCAGUCCAUCAGGGCUGAGGGCCUGGACAAGGAGCCCCCUGAGAAACAGGGUCCUGGCCAGCAGCUGCUACAAGCAGAGGCUGACCUGCAAGAAGCAGGACCACCUGCAGGACCUGCCUUCACCUCUCCUUUGCCCACAGUCAUCGAUGCCCUGAGCAGAGAGAGAAGGAUGUCUGACUUCCAGAGAGCCCCAAGGGUUCUGCCCUGGGCCUUCACUGCAGCGCACAGGAGAGGAGGGCAGGAACAGCAGCAGCCCACAGCCUGUGCAUGGGAUCUGCCGGCCACAGCCCAGACUGGCAGCAGUGAGAUCCUGAGCAAAGCUAUGAUUGUGAUCCAGGGACUGGAGCAGACAGAAGAGCAGAAGUCCCCGGAACACAGCACAGAUGCAACAAUGGCAGAAAGAGCCGGAGCAGCAGGGGCAGUGAGCCUGGCACAUGCCCCGCACAGCCCCACAGCUGAUGGCCAGGCUCUGCUGGACACAGUCCAGUACACACCAGAUGAGAUCCUUAGCAGAGCUAUGAUUGUGCCCCACAGAUCUGAGGAGCACACGGAACAACAGAGGGACCUGGAACAAGGUACUGCUGAGGGGAUGAGGGUAACAGCCCCAGCAGAAGAGACAAAGAGCCAAGGACCGAGUGAGCGCACUCAAGCAGAUGAUGGUCUGGCAUUCCUGGACUACCAUGACUAUGUCCUGACGGAAGUGGUUAAGAAGGCUGUGCUUAUGGUCCAGAAACCAUUUGAAUACUCAGAGGAGA
Long non-coding RNA from Lonchura striata (white-rumped munia), 2316 nucleotides. Lineage: Eukaryota; Metazoa; Chordata; Aves; Passeriformes; Estrildidae. The record is from Ensembl.